Nicotiana tabacum (common tobacco) is the source of this 210-nucleotide non-coding RNA. The record is from RefSeq and is a predicted model, not a curated record. Lineage: Eukaryota; Viridiplantae; Streptophyta; Magnoliopsida; Solanales; Solanaceae.
AAAGCUCGCCUCUUUCUGCGUAAAUUGGGAAGAAGAACCCAAUAACAAACACUAACCCGAGUAGUAGAAAAAGCAAAAGCUUGGUCUCCGGCGCCAAAUUUAAAGAUUGUUCAUAUUGACAACUUGUCCGGGGCUUCAACCAUAUCGUUUUCUUUUGCAUUGGAUCGUGGACUCAUUUGGGAGUCAGCGUAUGCGUUGCUUGAAGAGAAG